AAACACUGAUAGGUUAUUACAUAUAUCUAUCCGCCUGGGUACUACGGGCAUUAGCCUAAAACCCAAAGGACUUGGCGGUUCUUUAGACCCACCUAGAGGAGCCUGUUCUAUAACCGAUAAUCCCCGUUAAACCUCACCCUCUCUUGUUUUUCCCGCCGAUAUACCGCCGUCGUAAGCUUACCCUCUGAGGGAAUUUAUAGUAAGCACAAUCGGCACCGCCCAGAACGUCAGGUCGAGGUGUCGCGCAUGAGAGGGGAAGAAAUGGGCUACAUUCUCUAAUAUUAGAGAACACGAAUGAUCGUAAUGAAAAAGUACAUCUGAAGGAGGAUUUAGCAGUAAGUGGAAAAUAGAGUGUUCC
This 358-nucleotide ribosomal RNA is filed under the name Psenopsis anomala (melon seed). RNAcentral's name for it is "partial 12S ribosomal RNA". It matches the Rfam family "Bacterial small subunit ribosomal RNA", at positions 801 to 1360 of the family's 1533-position model. The record is from RNAcentral. Lineage: Eukaryota; Metazoa; Chordata; Actinopteri; Scombriformes; Centrolophidae.